CGACAAACCUUCCCCAUUGGCCCUACACACUAGCGAAUAUCACUGUGAGGAUGGGCCGCUGGGAAUAUGGCGCGCGGCGAUGACGUCAUGAUGUCAUGUCGCUUCUCUAAGCAUAUUUAAACUCGGCUGACUCUGUCAGCCGUGUACACAGCACAGGCUGUGACCCUGGGGCACACACGGUCGCCGCUUUACAAUUAAGCACCUGAUUAGAUGAUCUCCACUGAUCAGGAUAUGCUACCAGCCUGAAUUUAACUUUGGAUACCUUUAUGUAUGUUUACGUUAGAGCGACUACCUGCCCCAGUUUUAAGUCCCUUAUAGGGAUAUUCAGAACAGGGGUUUUGUUUUUGCUGUAUAUACCCCUUCCAUAUAUUUAUUUUUGGUUCUGGAUCUGAUUGUCCAAUUUUUUACAUCAUGAAACCACUACCAUAGAUGCAUAAAGCUUGGAUUAUUGAUGACCAUUUUUGGUACCAUUAAAUGCGACAUUUAAAUAAUUCCACAAUAAUUGUGCAUACUCCCUAUAUGAUCGGAGUGUCUUGGAUGGAUGCACCUACUGUGAUGCAUCAGAUUUUGAAACAAUAUUUAAUUAUUAUCAAAAAAUCCUGUUUGUCUCGUCCUGAAGAAGCCCCACAGCGAAACGCGUAGGCGACUUCAUAGGAUUCAUUUACCACCCACGACUUUCUAAUCCAGAUGGUUUUAUUUUGAUUAUAUUUAUUCACUUUUCAA
Long non-coding RNA from Rana temporaria (common frog), 723 nucleotides. RefSeq lists it as uncharacterized. NCBI's taxonomy places the organism in Eukaryota, Metazoa, Chordata, Amphibia, Anura, Ranidae. The record is from RefSeq and is a predicted model, not a curated record. The transcript has 5 exons.